RNAcentral lists this long non-coding RNA (673 nucleotides) under Homo sapiens (human). RNAcentral describes it as "HSALNT0097423". Lineage: Eukaryota; Metazoa; Chordata; Mammalia; Primates; Hominidae. The record is from RNAcentral.
GCCUAUCCAGGAAGCUUCUCCUCCUCUUCCAGGCAACUUUUCAUUAUUGCUUAAAAAUUCCCCUCCCCACUGCCCCACCUGGUGCUGACUCAGCUCCUGUCAGUAUCUGAAUGCCAGGAACCAGCCUGAGGGCGGACACUGCCACCUUCUCCUGUGUCCUAGGACACCCAGAGUUCCCAGAGACUGACAAUGAUGCCAUCCACCACUCCAGGACCCCAGCCCCUGCCAAUCUCAGCGAGCAUGGCCCCAAGUCCUGACUGGCAUCACACGUGAGCUUGGCAGGUUCCAGAAAGCUCUCUUCAUGGCAAGAAAAGCUAGGGUGGGGUACCCUGUGGGAGCUGUUGGUAGGGGCUCCUAUCAGAAGGCCCCAGGGCCUGCCAUCUCAGAGGACAAGGAGGACACACGUGGUCUCAAUGCUAUGCACAGAAUGAGGCCAUGGAGGUUAGCUUGCUUCUGCCCACUUCUGCCCUUGCCAGCGAGUCAAAGGAGAUCAGGACUGGAAUGAGGAAAUGGCUCCAUCUGUCCUCUCCCCUGCAAAGAGCUGGAAAGCUUGCUCUACUGGAUCCAGUCAUUUAUUCAGAGUCACGCUCUGUUACCCAAGCUGGAGUAUAGCGGCACAGUCUCAACUCACUGCAACCUCUGCCUCCUAGGUUCAAGCGAUUCUCCUGCCUCG